GACGAACGCUGGCGGCGUGCCUAAUACAUGCAAGUCGAACGCUGAAGGAGGAGCUUGCUUCUCCGGAUGAGUUGCGAACGGGUGAGUAACGCGUAGGUAACCUGCCUGGUAGCGGGGGAUAACUAUUGGAAACGAUAGCUAAUACCGCAUAACAGUAGAUGUUGCAUGACAUUUGCUUAAAAGGUGCAAUUGCAUCACUACCAGAUGGACCUGCGUUAUAUUAGCUAGUUGGUGAGGUAGCGGCUCACCAAGGCGACGAUACAUAGCCGACCUGAGAGGGUGAUCGGCCACACUGGGACGGAGACACGGCCCAGACUCCUACGGGAGGCAGCAGUAGGGAAUCUUCGGCAAUGGACGGAAGUCUGACCGAGCAACGCCGCGUGAGUGAAGAAGGUUUUCGGAUCGUAAAGCUCGGUUGUAAGAGAAGAACGAGUGUGAGAGUGGAAAGUUCACACUGUGACGGUAUCUUACCAGAAAGGGACGGCUAACUACGUG
This 495-nucleotide ribosomal RNA is filed under the name uncultured bacterium. RNAcentral's name for it is "partial 16S ribosomal RNA". It matches the Rfam family "Bacterial small subunit ribosomal RNA", at positions 28 to 507 of the family's 1533-position model. The record is from RNAcentral.